This 497-nucleotide ribosomal RNA is filed under the name uncultured bacterium. Its description in RNAcentral is "partial 16S ribosomal RNA". It matches the Rfam family "Bacterial small subunit ribosomal RNA", at positions 28 to 507 of the family's 1533-position model. The record is from RNAcentral.
GAUGAACGCUGGCGGCGUGCCUAAUACAUGCAAGUCGAGCGAACGGACGAGAAGCUUGCUUCUCUGAUGUUAGCGGCGGACGGGUGAGUAACACGUGGAUAACCUACCUAUAAGACUGGGAUAACUUCGGGAAACCGGAGCUUAUACCGGAUAAUAUUUUGAACCGCAUGGUUCAAAAGUGAAAGACGGUCUUGCUGUCACUUAUAGAUGGAUCCGCGCUGCAUUAGCUAGUUGGUAAGGUAACGGCUUACCAAGGCAACGAUGCAUAGCCGACCUGAGAGGGUGAUCGGCCACGCUGGAACUGAGACACGGUCCAGACUCCUACGGGAGGCAGCAGUAGGGAAUCUUCCGCAAUGGGCGAAAGCCUGACGGAGCAACGCCGCGUGAGUGAUGAAGGUCUUCGGAUCGUAAAACUCUGUUAUUAGGGAAGAACAUAUGUGUAAGUAACUGUGCACAUCUUGACGGUACCUAAUCAGAAAGCCACGGCUAACUACGUG